CAUGCAAGUCGAGCGCCCCGCAAGGGGAGCGGCAGACGGGAGAGUAACACGUGGGAACGUGCCCUUUGGUUCGGAACAACACAGGGAAACUUGUGCUAAUACCGGAUAAGCCCUUACGGGGAAAGAUUUAUCGCCAAUGGAGCGGCCCGCGUCUGAUUAGCUAGUUGGUGAGGUAACGGCUCACCAAGGCGACGAUCAGUAGCUGGUCUGAGAGGAUGAUCAGCCUCACUGGGACUGAGACACGGCCCAGACUCCUACGGGAGGCAGCAGUGGGGAAUAUUGGACAAUGGGCGCAAGCCUGAUCCAGCCAUGCCGCGUGGGUGAUGAAGGCCCUAGGGUUGUAAAGCCCUUUCGGCGGGGAAGAUAAUGACGGUACCCGCAGAAGAAGCCCCGGCUAACUUCGUGCCAGCAGCCGCGGUAAUACGAAGGGGGCUAGCGUUGCUCGGAAUCACUGGGCGUAAAGCGCACGUAGGCGGCUUUUUAAGUCAGGGGUGAAAUCCUGGAGCUCAACUCCAGAACUGCCUUUGAUACUGAGAAGCUUGAGUCCGGGAGAGGUGAGUGGAACUGCGAGUGUAGAGGUGAAAUUCGUAGAUAUUCGCAAGAACACCAGUGGCGAAGGCGGCUCACUGGCCCGGUACUGACGCUGA
RNAcentral lists this ribosomal RNA (647 nucleotides) under uncultured bacterium. RNAcentral's name for it is "bacterial SSU rRNA". It matches the Rfam family "Bacterial small subunit ribosomal RNA", at positions 54 to 749 of the family's 1533-position model. The record is from RNAcentral.